AACGAACGCUGGCGGCAGGCCUAACACAUGCAAGUCGAACGCUGUAGCAAUACAGAGUGGCAGACGGGUGAGUAACGCGUGGGAACAUGCCCUUCGGUUCGGAAUAACUCAGGGAAACUUGAGCUAAUACCGGAUACGCCCUUAGGGGGAAAGAUUUAUUGCCGAAGGAUUGGCCCGCGUCCGAUUAGCUAGUUGGUGAGGUAAUGGCUCGCCAAGGCGACGAUCGGUAGCUGGUCUGAGAGGAUGAUCAGCCACACUGGACUGAGACACGGCCCAGACUCCUACGGGAGGCAGCAGUGGGGAAUAUUGGACAAUGGGCGCAAGCCUGAUCCAGCCAUGCCGCGUGAGUGAUGAAGGCCCUAGGGUUGUAAAGCUCUUUCGCCAGGGACGAUAAUGACGGUACCUGGAUAAGAAGCCCCGGCUAACUUCGUGCCAGCCGCCGCCGUAA
Molecule: ribosomal RNA, 448 nt
Filed under: uncultured bacterium
Lineage: Bacteria
Description: partial 16S ribosomal RNA
Rfam family: Bacterial small subunit ribosomal RNA
Source: RNAcentral